Molecule: non-coding RNA, 604 nt
Organism: Corylus avellana
Lineage: Eukaryota; Viridiplantae; Streptophyta; Magnoliopsida; Fagales; Betulaceae
Source: RefSeq, a predicted model, not a curated record
GAUCCACAACACUGGACCAAUUGGUUGCCUUCCCUAUAUUUUGGCCAAUUUUCAAUCAGCUCAAAGGGACAGCCAUGGUUGCGCAAAGCCUUAUAAUGAUGUGGCUCAAUAUUUCAACUACAAGUUGAAGGAGGCCAUAGUUCAGCUCAGGAUCGAUCUUCCUUUAGCUGCAAUUACACAUGUAGACGUCUACUCUGCCAAGUACUCUUUAUUCAGCGAACCAAACAAACAUGGAUUCGAGCUUCCACUUGUUGCUUGUUGUGGGUAUGGAGGGAAGUACAACUAUAGCAAUAGUGUUGGGUGUGGAGGAACAAUUACAGUUAAUGGAAGCCAAAUAUUUGUGGGUUCAUGUGAACACCCCUCAGUCAAAGUAAAUUGGGAUGGAGUUCACUACACCGAGGCCGCAAAUAAGUUUGUUUUCGACCAAAUUUCAACUGGAGCCUUUUCAGAUCCACCCAUACCCUUGACAAUGGCAUGUCAUCAUGUUUAGUAAAAUGCCCACUCAAAAAUAAAUAAAAUAACACGCCCUUGCAUGUGACAUCAUAUUUGAAAGAUUGAUAUCAAAUAUUAUCAAUAUAAAGUGUUUAAUUAGUUAUUAUAUAUA